RNAcentral lists this ribosomal RNA (382 nucleotides) under uncultured eukaryote. RNAcentral's name for it is "partial 18S ribosomal RNA". It matches the Rfam family "Eukaryotic small subunit ribosomal RNA", at positions 592 to 976 of the family's 1831-position model. The record is from RNAcentral.
CAAUAGCGUAUAUUAAAGUUGUUGCAGUUAAAAAGCUCGUAGUUGGAUUUCUGGUGAGUUCGUUUGGCCGGCCGUAAAGGUCUGUGCCGAAAUGUUAUUCGCCAUCCUUGGUGUAAUCUUGUCCGCCAUUAAGUUGUGUGGGCUUGAGGAUGCCAUCGUUUACUGUGAAAAAAUUAGAGUGUUCAAAGCAGGCUUAUGCCGUUGAAUACAUUAGCAUGGAAUAAUAAGAUAGGACCCUGGUACUAUUUUGUUGGUUUGCGUACCUAGGUAAUGAUUAAUAGGGACAGUUGGGGGUAUUUGUAUUCCGUUGUCAGAGGUGAAAUUCUUGGAUUUACGGAAGACAAACUACUGCGAGAGCAUUUACCAAGGAUGUUUUCAUUAA